CCUACGGGGGGCAGCAGUCGAGAAUCAUUCACAAUGGGGGAAACCCUGAUGGUGCGACGCCGCGUGGGGGAAUGAAGGUCUUCGGAUUGUAAACCCCUGUCAUGUGGGCGCAAAUUAAAAAGAUAGUACCACAAGAGGAAGAGACUGCUAACUCUGUGCCAGCAGCCGCGGUAAUACAGAGGUCUCAAGCGUUGUUCGGAAUCACUGGGCGUAAAGCGUGCGUAGGCUGUUUCGUAAGUCGUGUGUGAAAGGCGCGGGCUCAACCCGCGGACGGCACAUGAUACUGGGAGACUAGAGUAAUGUAGAGGGAGCCGGAAUUCCCGGUGUAGCAGUGAAAUGCGUAGAGAUCGAGAGGAACACCGGUGGCGAAGGCGGGUCCCUGGACAUUAACUGACGCUGAGGUACGAAGGCGAGGGGAGCGAAAGGGAUUAGAUACCCCUGUAGUC
Molecule: ribosomal RNA, 446 nt
Filed under: uncultured bacterium
Lineage: Bacteria
Description: partial 16S ribosomal RNA
Rfam family: Bacterial small subunit ribosomal RNA
Source: RNAcentral